AUGGGAAUUCGUUUCCAUACCUGUGCAGGUGUCCGUGUGUCCUCAUCCCCAGGUGUCCCUGUUUGUGUGUCCCUGUCCAUGUGUCCCCAUCCUGUGUCUCCCUGCCUGGCUGUCCACUCUCACCCCCAUGUGUCCCCAUCUCUCUCUCCAUGUGUCCCCAUCCGUCCGUGUGUCCCUGUCCCCAUCCCCGCAUGUCCCUCUACGUGCGACCCUGUUUGUGUCUCUUCUCCGUGUGUCCCCAUCCCAUUCCUGUCUGUCUGUCUGUCCCUGUCCCUGUGUUUCCAUCCCGUGUGUCCCUGUCCGCGCAUCCCUGUCUGUCUGUCCCCAUCCCUGUCCGUGUGUCCCCAUCCCUGUCCGUCUGUCCCCAUCCUUGUCUGUCUGUCCCCAUCCCUGUCCGUCUGUCCCCAUCCCUGUCCGUGUGUCCCUGUCCGCGCAUCCCUGUCCGUGUGUCCCUGCCCGUCUGUCCCCAUCCCUGUCCGUGUGUCCCUGUCCGGCAUCCCUGUCCGUGUGUCCCCAUCCCUGUCCGUGUGUCCCUGUCCCCAUCCCUGUCCGUGUGUCCCCAUCCCUGUCCGUGUGUCCCCAUCCCUGUCCGUCUGUCCCCAUCCCUGUCCGUGUGUCCCCAUCCCUGUCCGUCUGUCCGCCUCCCGGAGCCGCUCGGGGCCGGGCCCGGGGGUCCGGGGCCCCGGGCGGGGCGGGCGCGGCGGGCGGGGCCGGCGGCGGGGCGGGAUCGGCUCUGCGGCGGCCGCACCGAGCCGAGCCGAGCCGAGCCGAGCCGAGCCUGCCCAGCCGAACCGGCCCCGCCGCACCGGCCGCAGCCCCGCCGAGCCCCGCCGCACCGAGCCGAGCCGCGCCGGGCGGAGCGGAGCCGCCGCGCCGGGGCCGCCCCGGGCCGGGCCAUGCGCUGAGGCCGCCGCGCCGCCCGCAGCCAAGGGCGGAUCCCGGGCAGGACACGGUGAGGCGGCGGGCACCGCAAUGCGACCGGCGCGGCGGGGGCCGGGGGAGCGCGGCCGGCGCGGGGACCGGGGGUGCUGGCGGGGAGCGGCGGGGGGAGCCGUGACCCUGCCCCGCCAUCUGCCCGUGCCCUCCUGCCGCCGCUCCAUCUCCAUCCCGAGCGGGAUGCUCGUCCCUCCCUGCCGCUCCUCCAUCUCCAUCCUGCCCCUCCAUCCAGCGCCUUCUGCCUCUCCGGCUGUGUCCUGCUCCUCCCCUGCCGCUCCAUCUCCAUCCCGAGCGCGAUGCUCGUUCACCCUGCUCCUCCUCUGCCCCUCCGAGCGACCUCCAGCCCCUUCUCCAGCCCCUUCUCCAGCCCCUUCACCCUCCAUCCUGCCCUUCCCACGCUCCCCGUCCCACCCCUGCUCCCUCACCCCACCCUGA
Molecule: long non-coding RNA, 1371 nt
Filed under: Taeniopygia guttata (zebra finch)
Lineage: Eukaryota; Metazoa; Chordata; Aves; Passeriformes; Estrildidae
Description: lncRNA (ENSTGUG00000026722.1)
Source: RNAcentral